Molecule: ribosomal RNA, 253 nt
Filed under: uncultured bacterium
Lineage: Bacteria
Description: partial 16S ribosomal RNA
Rfam family: Bacterial small subunit ribosomal RNA
Source: RNAcentral
UACAGAGGUCCCGAGCGUUGUUCGGAUUCACUGGGCGUAAAGGGUGCGUAGGCGGUGGGGCAAGUCUGAUGUGAAAGCUUCGAGCUUAACUCGAAAAUGGCAUUGGAAACUGCCCCGCUAGAGGCUUGGAGGGGGGACUGGAAUACUUGGUGUAGCAGUGAAAUGCGUAGAGAUCAAGUGGAACACCAGUGGCGAAGGCGAGUCCCUGGACAAGACCUGACGCUGAGGCACGAAAGCUAGGGGAGCAAACAGG